This 476-nucleotide ribosomal RNA is filed under the name uncultured bacterium. Its description in RNAcentral is "partial 16S ribosomal RNA". It matches the Rfam family "Bacterial small subunit ribosomal RNA", at positions 28 to 507 of the family's 1533-position model. The record is from RNAcentral.
GACGAACGCUGGCGGCGUGCCUAAUACAUGCAAGUUGAGCGAUGAAGCUUGGUGCUUGCUCCAAUUUGAAGAGCAGCGAACGGGUGAGUAACGCGUGGGGAAUCUGCCUUUGAGCGGGGGACAACAUUGGGAAACGAAUGCUAAUACCGCAUAAUAACUUUAAACAUAAGCUUUAAGUGUGAAAGAUGCAAUUGCAUCACUCAAAGAUGAGCCCGCGGCCUAUUAGCUAGUUGGUGGGGUAAAGGCUUACCAAGGCGAUGACACUGAGCCGACCUGAGAGGGGUACUGGACACACUGGGACUGAGACACGGCCCAGCCGCCUCCGGGGGGCAGCAGUAGGGAAUAUUGCACAAUGGGCGCAAGCCUGAUGCAGCAACGCCGCGUGGGGGAGGACGGCCGUCGGGUUUGAAACCUCUUUUAGUAGGGAAGAAGCGCAAGUGACGGUACCUGCAGAAAAAGCACCGGCGAACUACGUG